CCCUUAGAUGUUCGGGGCCGCACGCGCGCUACACUGAUGGGGUCAGCGUGUUUGCACGUCCUGGUCCGGCAGGAUUGGGCAAUCCGUUGAACCUCCGUCGUGAUUGGGAUCGGAGCUUGUAAUUAUUCUCCGUGAACGAGGAAUUCCCAGUAAGCGCAAGUCAUCAGCUUGCGUUGAUUACGUCCCUGCCCUUUGUACACACCGCCCGUCGCUCCUACCGAUUGAGUGAUCCGGUGAGGCUCUGGGACCUGGACGGAAAGAGCGUUUCGCUUGUUCUGUUUGGGAAACUUGGUCGAACCUUAUCAUUUAGAGGAAGGAGAAGUCGUAACA
Molecule: ribosomal RNA, 330 nt
Filed under: uncultured eukaryote
Lineage: Eukaryota
Description: partial 18S ribosomal RNA
Rfam family: Eukaryotic small subunit ribosomal RNA
Source: RNAcentral